UAGUCCACGCCCUAAACGAUGAACACUAGUUGUUGCGGUGCAAGUCAUCGCAGUAAUACACCUAACGGAUUAAGUGUUCCGCCUGGGGAGUACGGUCGCAAGAUUAAAACUCAAAGGAAUAGACGGGGACCCGCACAAGCGGUGGAGCAUGUGGUUUAAUUCGAAGAUACGCGAAGAACCUUACCUGGCCUUGAUAUCCUUGGAAUCCUGCAGAGAUGCGGGAGUGCUAGUUUACUAGAACCAAGUGACAGGUGCUGCACGGCUGUCGUCAGCUCGUGUCGUGAGAUGUUGGGUUAAGUCCCGCAACGAGCGCAACCCUCGUGUUUAGUUGCUAACAGUUCGGCUGGGCACUCUAAACAGACUGCCUUCGUAAGGAGGAGGAAGGUGAGGACGACGUCAAGUCAUCAUGGCCCUUAUGGCCAGGGCUACACACGUGCUACAAUGGUUAGGACAAAGAGCCGCGAUACCGCGAGGUGGAGCAAAUCUUAAAACCUAAUCUCAGUUCGGAGUUG
This 512-nucleotide ribosomal RNA is filed under the name uncultured bacterium. Its description in RNAcentral is "bacterial SSU rRNA". It matches the Rfam family "Bacterial small subunit ribosomal RNA", at positions 791 to 1301 of the family's 1533-position model. The record is from RNAcentral.